Molecule: ribosomal RNA, 545 nt
Filed under: bacterium PE03-7G1
Lineage: Bacteria
Description: bacterial SSU rRNA
Rfam family: Bacterial small subunit ribosomal RNA
Source: RNAcentral
ACGGGUGGCUGCAGUCGAGAAUCUUCGGCAAUGGGCGAAAGCCUGACCGAGCGACGCCGCGUGCGGGACGAAGGCCUUCGGGUUGUAAACCGCUGUCGGGAGGGAUGAAGUGCACGGGGGCUAUCCCCUGUGUUUGACAGAGCUCCGGAGGAAGCACGGGCUAAGUUCGUGCCAGCAGCCGCGGUAAUACGAACUGUGCGAACGUUAUUCGGAAUCACUGGGCUUAAAGGGUGCGUAGGCGGCGCUGUAAGUCAGGUGUGAAAUCCCCCGGCUCAACCGGGGAAUGGCGCUUGAAACUGCAGUGCUUGAGUGAGGUAGGGGUGCAUGGAACUUCCGGUGGAGCGGUGAAAUGUGUAGAUAUCGGAAGGAACGCCGGCGGCGAAAGCGGUGCACUGGGCCUUGUCUGACGCUGAGGCACGAAAGCUAGGGUAGCGAACGGGAUUAGAUACCCCGGUAGUCCUAGCCGUAAACACUGAGCACUGGAGCGGAGGGGUUUCGGCCUUUCCGCUCGCAGCGAUAAGCGUUAAGUGCUCCGCCUGGGGAGU